Long non-coding RNA from Salvia splendens (bonfire salvia), 439 nucleotides. RefSeq lists it as uncharacterized. The transcript is spliced from 2 exons. The record is from RefSeq and is a predicted model, not a curated record. Lineage: Eukaryota; Viridiplantae; Streptophyta; Magnoliopsida; Lamiales; Lamiaceae.
CUAGUCAUGACGGAAAAAGUUAGUAAGAUUUUGUUCAACGCUUGACUUAAAUUUGACUAAAUCAGGCAAAAUUGUCACUUUAAUUGGUUGUUCGGCACGUAGUGUAUCAGAGAACGAACGUGAAGAAGAAGAUUUUGCGGAUCCCUAAAGCACCGAAAUAGGACGUUCUUUUGUAAGUAUUUAACAAUGAUUGGUUGUCACAAUCAAUGCAAAUCAGUGAUCAACGCACCUAUUCAGAGGUUGAAAAUGAGUUGGACAACGACAGACAAUGUUGAUGACAACAGGGUUUAUUUGCUUAGACACCUUGAAGUCUACAUGGGUGAAAGAGAGGGUCAAUGACUUUUGAAUGCUUUCCUCUUGUUUUUUGUAGACGAUAGCCCAUGCGAUGAAUAUUACUCGAUACAUUGGGUCACAAUAAAUCAAUAUUUGAGUUAUAGAA